CUAUCUGCAGUCGAGCGGACAGAAGGGAGCUUGCUCCCGGAUGUUAGCGGCGGACGGGUGAGUAACACGUGGGUAACCUGCCUGUAAGACUGGGAUAACUCCGGGAAACCGGAGCUAAUACCGGAUAGUUCCUUGAACCGCAUGGUUCAAGGAUGAAAGACGGUUUCGGCUGUCACUUACAGAUGGACCCGCGGCGCAUUAGCUAGUUGGUGAGGUAACGGCUCACCAAGGCGACGAUGCGUAGCCGACCUGAGAGGGUGAUCGGCCACACUGGGACUGAGACACGGCCCAGACUCCUACGGGAGGCAGCAGUAGGGAAUCUUCCGCAAUGGACGAAAGUCUGACGGAGCAACGCCGCGUGAGUGAUGAAGGUUUUCGGAUCGUAAAGCUCUGUUGUUAGGGAAGAACAAGUGCAAGAGUAACUGCUUGCACCUUGACGGUACCUAACCAGAAAGCCACGGCUAACUACGUGCCAGCAGCCGCGGUAAUACGUAGGUGGCAAGCGUUGUCCGGAAUUAUUGGGCGUAAAGGGCUCGCAGGCGGUUUCUUAAGUCUGAUGUGAAAGCCCCCGGCUCAACCGGGGAGGGUCAUUGGAAACUGGGAAACUUGAGUGCAGAAGAGGAGAGUGGAAUUCCACGUGUAGCGGUGAAAUGCGUAGAGAUGUGGAGGAACACCAGUGGCGAAGGCGACUCUCUGGUCUGUAACUGACGCUGAGGAGCGAAAGCGUGGGGAGCGAACAGGAUUAGAUACCCUGGUAGUCCACGCCGUAAACGAUGAGUGCUAAGUGUUAGGGGGUUUCCGCCCCUUAGUGCUGCAGCUAACGCAUUAAGCACUCCGCCUGGGGAGUACG
This 850-nucleotide ribosomal RNA is filed under the name uncultured bacterium. RNAcentral describes it as "bacterial SSU rRNA". It matches the Rfam family "Bacterial small subunit ribosomal RNA", at positions 51 to 884 of the family's 1533-position model. The record is from RNAcentral.